RNAcentral lists this unclassified non-coding RNA (376 nucleotides) under soil metagenome. RNAcentral describes it as "partial contains 5.8S ribosomal RNA, internal transcribed spacer 2, and large subunit ribosomal RNA". The stretch from base 1 to 120 matches the Rfam family "5.8S ribosomal RNA", at positions 35 to 154 of the family's 154-position model. The record is from RNAcentral.
GAUGAAGAACGUAGCGAAAUGCGAUAAGUAAUGUGAAUUGCAGAGUUCAGUGAAUCAUCGAAUCUUUGAACGCAUCUUGCGCUCCUUGGUAUUCUGAGGAGCAUGCCUGUUUGAGUGUCAUUAAAUUCUCAACUACACUGACUUUGAAUUGGUGUGGCUUGGAUUUGGGGGGAAAAUUGUUGUGGGCUUUUUGUAUAGUCUGCUCCCCUGAAAUUGAUUAGCGGUACCUUUGUGGAACUGUCUACAGGUGUGAUAAUUAUCUACAUCUUAGACAUCUGCUGGAAUGCUGCUUUCUAAACCUUACUUGUAUUGACAAUCUUGACCUCAAAUCAGCUAGGACUACCCGCUGAACUUAAGCAUAUCAAUAAGCGGAGGA